Molecule: long non-coding RNA, 906 nt
Organism: Entelurus aequoreus (snake pipefish)
Lineage: Eukaryota; Metazoa; Chordata; Actinopteri; Syngnathiformes; Syngnathidae
Exons: 3
Source: RefSeq, a predicted model, not a curated record
GUUCAUUUCCGUUGCGGCUUAUCUAAAGUCUUUUUUAUAUAUAUAUAUAAACAAUAUAACUACAUCACUUUCAGUCACACACGCCUUUUUCGGUACUUUAAAAACGUUUGAAAUGUCAGCAAUAUUUAUCUUACGACUGAGUCUUGACUUGCGUUGUUGAACUAUAGAACAAAUCAGAGCUGAAAUGUUUUCGCUAUGUACGCUAGAGCACAUCGGCAAGCUAACGCUAAUCGUAAGUGAUGAUGCUCGUCGGUCAUUUAGGGGUAAACUAUAGAUUUUAACAAAGUAUAAUUGACAUUUGUAACAUGUACAAGUAUUUAUAGCGGAUUUUGGACAUUACAUUUGACUUGACAGAGAGAAAAGACGGCCGGUAGGGUUAUAGGACCUUGAAGUAGCCCGUGUGAGCUACAGCAGGAGUCCGUAGGUACACCCCUAUUUGGUCGCUGGGUUGUCGGUCCAGUCUUAAGAAGGAGGCCUAAUCUCCCACACACCUGCUACGGCUGUGCCAAGCUAUUAAUACGUCUCAUGGAUGGGCCUUAGAGGUCAGAAGAGGAUCCACUUGGUGUCCGUCCUGGCUCAAAGGCAGCAACUUUCAUGGAAAGUGGAGCCGUUGACGAGCGGUCUGUGGAGAAUUCAACUUUUAUGUUCACCGAAAUGGAUGGGAACCGGAAAGGUUUUUGAAGAAGUCUUCACUGGAAGUGGUCUGCAUACAGCAUCUGGAUUCAAUCUGAAGGUUGAUGUCAUUAUGGCAGUUUUAAUAUGAAGAUUCAGUAAGAAAAAAGGCUCCUCAUGCUGCAGUUAUCCAACUUCAUGGUACAGUUAUUGGAAUAACCAGGUGCAGAUUAAUGUUGGUGUAUUGCGUGUGCACCGGAGCAGUGCAGCCUUGGAUCCACCGUGGAACCAGAA